UUGAAAGGGAAACGAUUGAAGUCAGUCAUGCUGGUGGGAAUCAACUUAGGGGAAACUCUAGGUGCACUUCUUCGCUUGGCAGGUUAACGUCGAUCUUGAAUGCCAUAAAAUAAUUGGGGGAAGGUAGCUCCUUCGGGAGUGUUAUAGCCCUUGAUAGAUGUGAUGUUUGGGGUCGAGGAUUGCAACGGAUACCCUUUGGGGCUAGCCGCCUGAUCUCUAAUCGGUGUUGGGUUACGGAUAGCAUGCUGACUGUGAUCCAAUUACUGGUUAAAAGGUUAGAGCGUGCAUAAAUUCGUUAAGGAUGUUGACGUA
RNAcentral lists this ribosomal RNA (312 nucleotides) under uncultured Glomeromycotina. RNAcentral's name for it is "LSU rRNA". Lineage: Eukaryota; Fungi; Glomeromycota. The record is from RNAcentral.